This 214-nucleotide unclassified non-coding RNA is filed under the name Hevea brasiliensis (rubber tree). The record is from RNAcentral. Lineage: Eukaryota; Viridiplantae; Streptophyta; Magnoliopsida; Malpighiales; Euphorbiaceae.
AAAAUGAACCAAUAACUGAAACCUGAAAUUUUUAAAAAAUACUAACCAAACCAAAAAGAUCAAUACCAAAUAAUUGAAUAUCAUUGGUUAAAUUUAUAAAUGAAUUAUUUCUUAAUUAACUUCAAGUUUAUUAUCACUUCCUGAUAUCAUGUACUCAAUGAGAAUCAAAGCCAAUAAUCAUGGGAGACAUACCAGAGCAAUAUCGAUGCUAGUG